UAGGUGGGGUGUGUAAGCGCAGUGAUGUGUUGAGCUAACCCAUACUAAUUACCCGUGAGGCUUAACCAUACAACACCCAAGAAGUGUUCUG
This 91-nucleotide ribosomal RNA is filed under the name Aeromonas veronii. Its description in RNAcentral is "partial 23S ribosomal RNA". RNAcentral also lists the same sequence under 1 other name. Lineage: Bacteria; Pseudomonadati; Pseudomonadota; Gammaproteobacteria; Aeromonadales; Aeromonadaceae. The record is from RNAcentral.